UGGCAGCUGGACUGUCCAGUGGCUUAAUUUCUGACUCACCCACUAUAAUGAUCUCCAUAUGUCCAGGAGCAUUGAAAAAGGACCACAAGAUUUUCAUAGAAGUCUUUCCCACUGGAUGAUAUCUUGGAGUCUCCGUCUGAGGAUUUAGCAUGCCGGUCUGUCUGGUUCUGUGAUCGUCUAUCGAUAUUCUUUUAUUGGAAAACUUGGAAAUAUAUGAUCCAUCUUUUUUCUGAGAAUUCUCCCAGGAAGCUUGGCAUGGCGUCAUGAAAUUGGAAGAGUCAAGGGUUGCUCAACCAUCAUCCGUACAUGUGCGUGGACAAUUCUCCACUGUCAAAAUGAAUAGAAGUUUACAAAAGACAGGUCUAACAAAUCACCAAGCUCUGUCCCAAGCUGCAGUCUGUUUUCUUUGCCUCCUUCAAUGAAGUCCAAGUCAACUCUGACAAGAUCCAAGUCAACCUGGCCUGGGUUUCUCUUUCUUUCGCAUGCUACCAUGUGACAGGAGCAGUGCCAUUUGGCCAGCCCCAAAGUACAAUCAUUGGUGUCCUUCCCUGUUUGAAAUUUAAUUCAGCUGGAAUUGGAGCCAAAUAUGCUUAUGAGC
This is a long non-coding RNA of Pantherophis guttatus, 598 nucleotides long. RefSeq lists it as uncharacterized. Lineage: Eukaryota; Metazoa; Chordata; Lepidosauria; Squamata; Colubridae. The record is from RefSeq and is a predicted model, not a curated record.